UAUUGGACUACCAUGGCAGUCACGGGUAACGGAGAAUAGGGUUCGAUUCCGGAGAGGGAGCCUGAGAAACGGCUACCACAUCUACGGAAGGCAGCAGGCGCGCAAAUUGCCCCAAUCCCGACACGGGGAGGCAGUGACAAGAAAUAACAACUCUUGGAUUUCUAAGAAGUGUAAUGAGGAUAAUUUACAACCCUUACCGAAAGCAAUUGGAGGGGCAAGUCUGGUGCCAGCAGCCGCGGUAAUUCCAGCUCCAAUAGCGUAUAUUAAAGUUGUUGCAGUUAAAAAGCUCGUAGUUGAAGUUCUGAUUGUUCGGGCCUCGCGCUUUAUAGCCGAGGAACCGACAGUCAUCCGCUUGCAAAUAUAUGUUCGCCUUUAACCGGGUGGCUAUAUGAGUAAGCAAUUUACCUUGAGAAAAACAGAGUGUUCCAGGCAGGUUUGUCCGGAAUGCAUUAGCAUGGAAUAAUAGAAUAUGACUGAAGUCGAUUUAUUGGUUUAAGGCUUUAGUAAUGAUUAAUAGGAACAGUCGGGG
This 529-nucleotide ribosomal RNA is filed under the name uncultured eukaryote. RNAcentral's name for it is "SSU rRNA". It matches the Rfam family "Eukaryotic small subunit ribosomal RNA", at positions 334 to 887 of the family's 1831-position model. The record is from RNAcentral.